UCGGCGCCCAGGACUUCCCUCUGCACCCCAGGAGCCCCACUCCUGCCUCCCUAGUGCGAGUGCGCCCGAGCGGUGACUUUCGGGGACUUCCUUCCCCCCGCCUCGCGGUGACCUUCUGUGGCUCCCCCCGCCCCCCUGUCCUGCCGCUCAGACGUGGCUGCUGGGGGGAGGGGGGGAGAGGGGCGGUAUAAAGGGCCGGAGGCAGCGCGGGCCGAGAUCGAGACGUGGCGCGCCCACUCUGCCGGCGUCGGCUCCAGCCACAUCGCUACACUGUCACCUUGGAUGAAAGGAGCAGGAAGGGGGCAGACGAGAACAUCACCUAGAAGAGAUGACGAUGCUGCUGUGGGUUGGGAGUGACCUUAAAGGGAGACCUUGACUUCUGUGAUCUUUACAAUGCGAUAAGAUUGUGUUUGGAAGACCCGUGAUGAUGGCUACAGGUAAUGCUGUGAUGCUCCCCGAAGUUUUGACAGGUGAAGAAUCACUAAGUGGGGAGAGUUCAGGGAGCCAUCAGCCCCUACUCAAGUCCCUUGAGCUUCUUUAGGAUUCUUUUUACCCC
Molecule: long non-coding RNA, 556 nt
Organism: Ceratotherium simum simum (southern white rhinoceros)
Lineage: Eukaryota; Metazoa; Chordata; Mammalia; Perissodactyla; Rhinocerotidae
Source: RefSeq, a predicted model, not a curated record